AGUGAACGCUGGCGGUAGGCCUAACACAUGCAAGUCGAACGGCAGCACAGUAAGAGCUUGCUCUUACGGGUGGCGAGUGGCGGACGGGUGAGGAAUACAUCGGAAUCUACUUUUUCGUGGGGGAUAACGUAGGGAAACUUACGCUAAUACCGCAUACGACCUACGGGUGAAAGCAGGGGAUCUUCGGACCUUGCGCGAUUGAAUGAGCCGAUGUCGGUUUAGCUAGUUGGCGGGGUAAAGGCCCACCAAGGCGACGAUCCGUAGCUGGUCUGAGAGGAUGAUCAGCCACACUGGAACUGAGACACGGUCCAGACUCCUACGGGAGGCAGCAGUGGGGAAUAUUGGACAAUGGGCGCAAGCCUGAUCCAGCCAUACCGCGUGGGUGAAGAAGGCCUUCGGGUUGUAAAGCCCUUUUGUUGGGAAAGAAAAGCAGCAGGUUAAUACCCCGCUGUUCUGACGGUACCCAAAGAAUAAGCACCGGCUAACUUCGUG
RNAcentral lists this ribosomal RNA (492 nucleotides) under uncultured bacterium. Its description in RNAcentral is "partial 16S ribosomal RNA". It matches the Rfam family "Bacterial small subunit ribosomal RNA", at positions 29 to 507 of the family's 1533-position model. The record is from RNAcentral.